RNAcentral lists this ribosomal RNA (229 nucleotides) under uncultured bacterium. Its description in RNAcentral is "partial 16S ribosomal RNA". It matches the Rfam family "Bacterial small subunit ribosomal RNA", at positions 524 to 751 of the family's 1533-position model. The record is from RNAcentral.
UACGGGGGGAGCAAGCGUUGUUCGGAUUUACUGGGCGUAAAGGGCGCGUAGGCGGCCAGCGCAAGUCAGUUGUGAAAUCUCCGGGCUUAACUCGGAAAGGUCAACUGAUACUGCGCGGCUAGAGUGCGGAAGGGGCAACUGGAAUUCUUGGUGUAGCGGUGAAAUGCGUAGAUAUCAAGAGGAACACCUGCGGCGAAGGCGGGUUGCUGGGGCGACACUGACGCUGAGG